RNAcentral lists this ribosomal RNA (503 nucleotides) under uncultured bacterium. RNAcentral's name for it is "partial 16S ribosomal RNA". It matches the Rfam family "Bacterial small subunit ribosomal RNA", at positions 30 to 523 of the family's 1533-position model. The record is from RNAcentral.
AUUGAACGCUGGCGGCAGGCUUAACACAUGCAAGUCGAGCGGAGUGAUGGUGCUUGCACUAUCACUUAGCGGCGGACGGGUGAGUAAUGCUUAGGAAUCUGCCUAUUAGUGGGGGACAACAUCCCGAAAGGGAUGCUAAUACCGCAUACGUCCUACGGGAGAAAGCAGGGGAUCACUUGUGACCUUGCGCUAAUAGAUAAGCCUAAGUGGGAUUAGCUAGUUGGUGGGGUAAAGGCCUACCAAGGCGACGAUUUGUAGCGGGUCUGAGAGGAUGAUCCGCCACACUGGGACUGAGACACGGCCCAGACUCCUACGGGAGGCAGCAGUGGGGAAUAUUGGACAAUGGGGGGAACCCUGAUCCAGCCAUGCCGCGUGUGUGAAGAAGGCCUUAUGGUUGUAAAGCACUUUAAGCGAGGAGGAGGCUCUUUUGGUUAAUACCCAAGAUGAGUGGACGUUACUCGCAGAAUAAGCACCGGCUAACUCUGUGCCAGCAGCCGCCGCAG